Molecule: non-coding RNA, 179 nt
Filed under: Caldilineaceae bacterium
Lineage: Bacteria; Bacillati; Chloroflexota; Caldilineae; Caldilineales; Caldilineaceae
Description: 6S RNA
Rfam family: 6S / SsrS RNA
About the family: E. coli 6S RNA was the first non coding RNA to be sequenced, but its function was unknown until recently. It consists of 184 nucleotides that fold into an extended hairpin structure with a large single-stranded internal bulge.
Source: RNAcentral
GUGACUCUGCGGUGCACGUGAUGAGUCGGCACACGGGGCGAGCCAACACUAUAAAAACGGGAGCUGGACCAAGUGACGUGGAUGUGGUAGCCCUUGAGGCAAGACGGAAGCGCCCAGUCCGCACCCACCUGCUUACGCAGGUUCGUACCCACUGACACACACGGCUCUGCGGAGAUAUG